AAACACUGCUCUUCAGAGCCAUUUAGGGUAGAAAGAGACACCUGAAUAUAUCUAAAAGAUGACAGACAUGAAAUUAGAGAAGAACAACAUCGUUUUCAUGACCCUUGAUUGCUGAGAAAGACUGUGUUUUGUUUAAUGUCCAAUGAUAAGUGGUAUUUGCCGCUUUAAAAGGCUUUAUUCAAAAUUAUCACUUUGAGGGAUGUUUGAAAGAUCGCUCAAUGUCACUCACCGCCAACCGGGACAACCUGGGCCGAUACCAAACCAUACACCACACGUAUCCCCAGAACUCACCUCUGGCUUCCGCAUGUCUCUUCUGACACACUCAUGCCCACACACAUAAACAAACAAACAAAUAAAUAAAUAUAAGACAUUCCAGGUGGUCAAUUUUUUUAAAUCUUGUGUUUUGAGGAUUAUGCAAUCUCCUAUCCAACAUUGACUUUUUAUUGUAUAUAGGGUAGCAGAGAUGGCUCAGUAGUUAAGUCCGUGCCGCUCUCAUGGAGGACCCACAUCAGGUGGCUCGUACUGCCUGGGGCUCCAGCCCCAGAGUAUCCCUUCCUUCUGGGUACCUAUUCUCACACACAGAGACAUAUAAACACGUGUGUACUACAUCAUUUUAAAAAUAUUUUUGUUUUCUCUAUUUUUAAGAACUUUAUCUUAUGUGCAUUGGUGUUUUGUCUACAUGUAUGUUUGAGUAAGGGUGUUGGGUCUCCUGAAACCGAGCUCACUAACAGCUGUGAGCUGCCAUGUGGGUGCUGGGAAUUGAACCAGAUCCUCUGGGAAAGCAGCCAGUGAGUGUUCUUAACUGCUGAGCCAUCUCUCCAGCCCCAACCUAUAUAUAAUUUAAAACUAUAUCAUUUUAAAGUUUUUGUUAUGCACUAAUAAUGGAUAUGAUAUUCAUUGGCCUAAGGAGCUAUUGGUGGAGUCGCAUAUGUUAUUCACAGUAAUAAAAGCUCUUCACAUUUAUUGGGUCCUUCCUAUGUGCCACGAUGUUCAACUAACUUAUUUAGCACAUUUUAGAACUCAUUAUCUCUUAACAGGCUUUGAAACACUGGAAUGGCAGCACAUAACCUUUAAUCCCAGCAGUUGGGAGGCAGAGGCAGGCAGAUGUCUGUGAGCUCAAGGGCAGCCUGGUCUACAUAUUAAGUUCUAGGCUGUCCAGGGCUACAGAGAGAAAUGCUACCUCAAAAACCAACAAAAUAGGCAAGAAAGAGGUGAUAAAUAAGCAUUGUUUAAAACUUGGGUCUGGAGAGAUGACUCAGUGGCUCAGAGCCCUGGUUGCUCUUCCAGAGGACCUGAGAUUGAUUCCCAGCAUCCACAUGGUAGCUCACAACCAUCUGUAACCACAGCUCCAAGAGAGCAGACAUCCUCUUGUGGACUUGGAGAGUCCCUGAUCCAUACACACAUACAUAAUUAAAAAUACUU
This 1422-nucleotide long non-coding RNA is filed under the name Mus musculus (house mouse). Its description in RNAcentral is "long non-coding RNA chr19:47020118-47021540". Lineage: Eukaryota; Metazoa; Chordata; Mammalia; Rodentia; Muridae. The record is from RNAcentral.